CGGGGGGGCGAAGCGUUGUUCGGAAUUACUGGGCGUAAAGGGCUCGUAGGCGGCCAACUAAGUCAGACGUGAAAUCCCUAGGCUCAACCUAGGAACUGCGUCUGAUACUGGAUGGCUUGAAUCCGGGAGAGGGAUGCAGAAUUCCAGGUGUAGCGGUGAAAUGCGUAGAUAUCUGGAGGAAUACCGGUGGCGAAGGCGGCAUCCUGGACCGGCAUUGACGCUGAGGAGCGAAAGCCAGGGGAGCAAACGGGAUUAGAUACCCCGGUAGUCCUGGCCCUAAACGAUGAAUGUUUGGUGUGACGGGUAUCGAUCCCUGUCGUGCCGAAGCUAACGCAUUAAACAUUCCGCCUGGGGAGUACGGUCGCAAGGCUG
Molecule: ribosomal RNA, 372 nt
Filed under: uncultured organism
Description: bacterial SSU rRNA
Rfam family: Bacterial small subunit ribosomal RNA
Source: RNAcentral